CCUACGGGAGGCAGCAGUGAGGAAUAUUGGUCAAUGGGCGCGAGCCUGAACCAGCCAAGUAGCGUGAAGGAUGACUGCCCUACGGGUUGUAAACUUCUUUUAUAAAGGAAUAAAGUGAGGCACGUGUGCCUCUUUGUAUGUACUUUAUGAAUAAGGAUCGGCUAACUCCGUGCCAGCAGCGGAGGUAAUACGGAGGAUCCGAGCGUUAUCCGGAUUUAUUGGUUUUGAAGGGAGCGUAGAUGGGUUGUUAAGUCAGUUGUGAAAGCUUGCGGCUCAACCGUAAAAUUGCACUUGAUACUGGCAGACUUGAGUACAUUUGAGGUAGGCGGAAUUCGUGGUGUAGGAGUGAAAUGCUUAGAUAUCACGAAGAACUCCGAUUGCGAAGGCAGCUUACUAAACUGCCACUGACAUUGAUGCUCGAAAGUGUGGGUAUCAAACAGGAUUAGAUACCCGUGUAGUC
RNAcentral lists this ribosomal RNA (460 nucleotides) under uncultured bacterium. Its description in RNAcentral is "partial 16S ribosomal RNA". It matches the Rfam family "Bacterial small subunit ribosomal RNA", at positions 338 to 795 of the family's 1533-position model. The record is from RNAcentral.